CUANCAUGCAGUCGAACGAUGAACCACUUCGGUGGGGAUUAGUGGCGAACGGGUGAGUAACACGUGGGCAAUCUGCCCUGCACUCUGGGACAAGCCCUGGAAACGGGGUCUAAUACCGGAUACUGAUCCUCGCAGGCAUCUGCGAGRUUCGAAAGCUCCGGCGGUGCAGGAUGAGCCCGCGGCCUAUCAGCUAGUUGGUGAGGUAACGGCUCACCAAGGCGACGACGGGUAGCCGGCCUGAGAGGGCGACCGGCCACACUGGGACUGAGACACGGCCCAGACUCCUACGGGAGGCAGCAGUGGGGAAUAUUGCACAAUGGGCGAAAGCCUGAUGCAGCGACGCCGCGUGAGGGAUGACGGCCUUCGGGUUGUAAACCUCUUUCAGCAGGGAAGAAGCGAAAGUGACGGUACCUGCAGAAGAAGCGCCGGCUAACUACGUGCCAGCAGCCGCGGUAAUACGUAGGGCGCAAGCGUUGUCCGGAAUUAUUGGGCGUAAAGAGCUCGUAGGCGGCUUGUCACGUCGGUUGUGAAAGCCCGGGGCUUAACCCCGGGUCUGCAGUCGAUACGGGCAGGCUAGAGUUCGGUAGGGGAGAUCGGAAUUCCUGGUGUAGCGGUGAAU
RNAcentral lists this ribosomal RNA (619 nucleotides) under Streptomyces vinaceusdrappus. RNAcentral describes it as "bacterial SSU rRNA". It matches the Rfam family "Bacterial small subunit ribosomal RNA", at positions 50 to 686 of the family's 1533-position model. Lineage: Bacteria; Bacillati; Actinomycetota; Actinomycetes; Kitasatosporales; Streptomycetaceae. The record is from RNAcentral.